AUGAGCAGUGGAAACAGAAGAGGUUUAAGAGUGAGAGGUGGUGGCCAGGGUAGAAGGAGAAGAGGAAGAGGAAGAGGAGAUAGAGAAAGAGAAAGAAGAGCUGAAGAUGUAGGAGGAAGAGCUGAAGAUGUAGGAGGAAGAGCGAGAAGAGCUGAGGGUGUAGGAAGAGGAGAAGAGAUUGAAGAGAUGGAUAGAUUGGAGGGCAAUGGUAUAGUGGAAAGAGAAAAUAUAAGAAGAGGUGGACAGGGAGGAAGAGGAGGCCAAGGUGUAAGAGGAGGGAGGAGAGGUAAAAUGAGGGUAGGGUACACACGUGUUUCAAAUGAAAUCAGAGCCACACUUAUUGACCAUGUCAUAAAUCAUGGUCUCUCACUGAGAGAAGCUGGCCAGAGAGUUCAGCCCAAUAUAAACAGAUCCACAGUGGCUUCAAUUAUCCGUACAUUUCAGAGGGAAAAACGAAAUGAAGUUAGAGAACAUUUAGGUGGACGAACAAGACUUUUUUUCAGUUGAACAAGAGCAUGUCAUUGUUGACAUGGUGGUCCAGAACAACACCCUCCGCCUCAAAGAAAUUCAGCAAAGAAUAACACAGGACAAUCAACUGUUCCACAAUAUCCACCAAUGCAGUCUCUCCACAACUGACCGUGUUCUAAGAAGAAAUGCUAUCCGAAUGAAGCAAGUAUACAAAGUGCCCUUUGAGAGGAACUUUGUGAGAGUGAAGGAGUUGCGAUUCCAGUUUGUUCAAGUAUGUGCAAUCCAAUUACUGCAAUUUUACUGUCAACUCAAAGAUAUAUUUUUCCUGAAUUUUAAGUAUGUGUCCAUAAACUAUUCCAUGCCACUAUAUGUGAAAAGAUUUAGGCAUAUCUAUGUAUACUGCUGCUUCAAAGUGUGAACUCAAACUUCAGCAACAAUUUUACAGUAGUAUUGACUGCAAUCAGAGCCAUUACUGUAAAACACAAAUUUACUAUAUUUUACCUUGUGUUCUUUUUACUCUUGAGAAUCUUGGAGUUAGAUAGCAGUGCAACUCAUUAUUAGUACCUGUAUAUUGAUGAAGCAGGCUUCAAUCUUCAAAAAAAAGGAGAAGAGGGAGAAAUGUGAUUGGCCAUUUUGCUACAGUCAAUGUCCCUGGACAACGAGGAGGCAACAUCACUCUCUGUGCAGCAAUUUCUACAACUGGUGUUGUGGCACACAAUGCUGUCUUGGGACCAUACAACACAGCAAGGCUCCUACAUUUUUUAAACCUCCUCAAUGAAAUCCUCUUUCCGCAGGGUGAUCAGGAGCAAAUUGUGUGGAAUUUUGUAGUUGUUUGGGACAAUGUCCAAUUCCACCAUUCAGCACUAGUGCGAGAGUGGUUUGAGAAUCACCCACAAUUCAGGAUGGUGUUUCUUCCACCAUAUUCUCCUUUCCUGAAUCCAACUGAGGAAUUCUUCUCCUCUUGGAGAUGGAAAGUACAUGAUCGCAACCCUUACAACCAAGUAAGUCUUCUUCAAGCGAUGGAAGAGGCCUGUGGAGAUAUUGGGGCACAAGCAUGUCAAGGACAGAUACAGCAUUCAAGGAGUUUUUUUCCCACGAUGCAUGACUCGUGAAAAUAUUUUCUGUGAUGUUGAUGAAAUUCUCUGGCCAGAUGUAAUUGAGAGGCAUGAUCAAUAAAAUAAUUGAUUCAAUGAAUGCAGUACAUUUAUCACUUUAUUUUUUAUUUACCUAUGUACUUAUUUGCAUUAUAUAUAUAUAUAUAUAUAUAUAUAUAUAUAUAUAUAUAUAUAUAUAUAUAUUUGUGUGUGGGGUGACAACUUAUUGUUAUACACCUGAACUCCUCAUUAAAGAACUUAAUGAAAAACAUGUAUUUUCAUUUAUUUCUUUGUGUAUCUUCAGCUGAAUUUGUUAUAAAAUCAACAGAACACACUUUUAGUUUUGAUGUUAAUAUUGAAUUUUAAUAAAUGCAUUACUAGAAUAAAAUGCUGUGUUUCAUUGUGCAGUGAAUACUUAACGGUUUCGCCAGCAUAAGAGUGUGUUUAGUUUGCUGUGUUAACUGUUUUGAGAGCUGUUACCUGAGUUUGGAGAAAUGUACCAAAUCGAUUGAGAAAAACUGUAAUAGCUCAGAAUACAAGAGAAGACAUUAAUAAGCCCUUUCGUUUGGUACCCAGGUGUGAAAUGUAGCUAUGACUUGGCUCAGAGAGGAGGGACUCUGUGUUCACAGAUCUGACAUGAUCUAAUGUGUCUGACAGAGACUUAGAUGAAACAGUUCAGUCUGACUCUUCUCAGAGUGAACACUUGUACAGUGGAUCUUCAUUCAUUCAUUAUUCUGCUCUGUGCCUCAGUAUAUACAUUCAUUUUUAUUUAUCUCUUUUUAAAAAGGUUGUUUUUAAGAAAAAAAUCACUGAAGCACUAAAUGUACAUUUUCUUUUUCAGCUGCUGUCUUUGGAAAUGUCAUGACACCAAAAAGGACAGUUAUGUGCUGAGGAGAAUUCAGAUGUUACGUUAUCUUGUAAUUAUGCGUCUGCAAAUUAUCUCUACAUAUGUCAAGUACUUCUCACAUUUUCACUGAACUCUUUAUUAAGAGUGUGACUGUGGCAAAUUCAGCUCUCCAUUACUGUGCUUUAAGAGUUGAAGCCCAGUGAUACAAAACAUGCAACAAGUCAUACAAAAACUACAAGCCAUUUUCACUUUAAAGCUUUUAUUAUUAGAUACUGUAAUAACUGCAAACACCUGUGUGAGGUUGAGGGAAGAAAUGUUUUACAAAAGGAAUAAAAAGGCAAACAAAUGGUAGAAGGAUUGUAACUGUAAAAAAUGUACUUUCACUUGCUUUAUGAUUAAGACAUUUAACAUCAUGUGACUUUAUUUCAGCUGUGUAACACUGGCAAGAAACCAAAAGAGGGCAAUAUCUCUCAGUAUCACACUAACAGAGUGGUUUCCUCCUCAGAGUCCUAUAUUAUUAUGAAAGCAAACCUGUCUUAUAUAUUUUGACUUCAUUGUUUGAAACAGAUCAUUAAGUGGUCCAGGAAUAUAUUUCUAUUUGCACUAUUCAUUCUUGGUAUGUAUUUCCACACAUUUUAAGCAGUUAGAUAACUCAUUUGUAGCUAUACUGUUUGUUGACAUGGAUUUUUUGAUACUCAUCAAAAACCAUAACUACAUCAAAUAUUCAAAUAGAAUGCAGAUCAGAAGACAAAGUUGAUCAGCCAGAGAAAUACGUGACUGCAGUUGAAGGAAAAUCAGUGACAUUAUAUUGUACAUAUACAACAACCUCAACACAACCAUACUGUACCUCUUCUGGUACAUCCAGAGAGCAAAUGACCUUCCUCUAGAUACAUACUGAUGAGAGACAAAUAUGGAGGAGCAGAUAAUGAUGCUCAGUUUCAGGAGAGAUUUCACUCUAAACUAUCGUCAGAUUCAGUUCCACUUACAAUCCAGGAUGUGCGUGUGUCUGACUCUACUGUGUAC
Molecule: long non-coding RNA, 3432 nt
Organism: Cyprinus carpio carpio
Lineage: Eukaryota; Metazoa; Chordata; Actinopteri; Cypriniformes; Cyprinidae
Source: Ensembl